UUCGGAGGUACUCGAGUGGCGAACGGGUGAGUAACACGUGGGUGAUCUGCCCUGCACUCUGGGAUAAGCCUGGGAAACUGGGUCUAAUACCGGAUAGGACCAUGCUUUAGUGUGUGUGGUGGAAAGUUUUUUCGGUGUAGGAUGAGCCCGCGGCCUAUCAGCUUGUUGGUGGGGUAACGGCCUACCAAGGCGGCGACGGGUAGCCGGACUGAAAGGUUGGUCGGCCACAUUGGGACUGAGAUACGGCCCAG
This 251-nucleotide ribosomal RNA is filed under the name uncultured Actinomycetales bacterium. RNAcentral's name for it is "partial 16S ribosomal RNA". It matches the Rfam family "Bacterial small subunit ribosomal RNA", at positions 79 to 334 of the family's 1533-position model. Lineage: Bacteria; Bacillati; Actinomycetota; Actinomycetes; Actinomycetales. The record is from RNAcentral.